AUUAGGGUUGAGAAAGGGGCGACGAUUCAUCUUCCAUACUCAGACUCUCCUUCUUCUUCUCUCGCCCACGAAACGGCGGCGGCGGCGCAACCUUCACCUAAGAAACCUAACGGCGCGCCACCUGGAAAUAAUCAAAGCCCCACCUCCCUCGCACCUUUCACCUCCAAAUUCAAACCUAAUCUCAAUCGAUUUCACUUUGCUAGCCCUCUUUCUACGCAAGAAUCUGAAAACCCUACGUCUACAAAGUUCAUGAAACAUCACAUGCUAUGAUUAGGUGAGAAGAAGGUAAGAGGAACCUGAUUGAAGUCCGAUGAAGAAAACAGAAGGCUUAGAAAUUCCGCGCUUGCCGUUGUGCGAAAUAAACUCGAUAAGCAGAAGAUUUUUUCAGGGCUUCUAGGUGAUAAUUUGGGAUACUCGAAUUUGAUGUGUAAACUGAAUACAGAACUAUUGCAUUGGUUUGUUAGAAGUGCAGACUGGUUUAAUGGCAAAGGGCACUGUAUUGGCUGCAGUGACAUAGCCUGCCCGGUUCAAGUUUCAAUCUGCACGAUGGCAUGAAGAAAUUUCGAAGAAGCUUUGAAGACGUAUGCUGAAGCUUUUUAGGAGUAGGCUUUUUCUUUUGUAGCUUUUGUAACUUCAAAAAAGUUUUAAUCACUUUUUCCUUGUAAUGGCUCCCUUUUUCUUGUAACUUAGAUUUAGAUCUCAACUGUUAGGGUGGAUUCGGUUUGAAUCGAAGUGGUGUGGAAGGUUUGAAUUUCUGUAUGGUAAAUGAUAAUUGGGAUAGAACAAAUGUGUAGAUUCUUGAAUUUAAAUUUUGAAUGGAUUUGAAUUAACAGCCUUGAACUCAAAAUAA
Vicia villosa (hairy vetch) is the source of this 850-nucleotide long non-coding RNA. RefSeq lists it as uncharacterized. The record is from RefSeq and is a predicted model, not a curated record. NCBI's taxonomy places the organism in Eukaryota, Viridiplantae, Streptophyta, Magnoliopsida, Fabales, Fabaceae. The transcript is spliced from 3 exons.